This 72-nucleotide transfer RNA is filed under the name Bos taurus (domestic cattle). It matches the Rfam family "tRNA". From Rfam's summary of the family: Transfer RNA (tRNA) molecules are approximately 80 nucleotides in length. Their secondary structure includes four short double-helical elements and three loops (D, anti-codon, and T loops). Further hydrogen bonds mediate the characteristic L-shaped molecular structure. tRNAs have two regions of fundamental functional importance: the anti-codon, which is responsible for specific mRNA codon recognition, and the 3' end, to which the tRNAs corresponding amino acid is attached (by aminoacyl-tRNA synthetases). tRNAs cope with the degeneracy of the genetic code in two manners: having more than one tRNA (with a specific anti-codon) for a particular amino acid; and 'wobble' base-pairing, i.e. permitting non-standard base-pairing at the 3rd anti-codon position. RNAcentral also lists the same sequence under 5 other names. Lineage: Eukaryota; Metazoa; Chordata; Mammalia; Artiodactyla; Bovidae. The record is from Rfam by way of RNAcentral.
UCCCUGGUGGUCCACUGGAUAGGACUCAGGGCUUUUACUGAGGUGGCCCAGGUUCAAUCCCUGGCUGGGGAG